GCCUGGGACUCCCUCCUCCAAGACAUCGCACUUAUGCCGAUGAACGUCGUGGAGGACCGGGAUGUUCUUUCCUGGAGCCUCGAGCCCUCUGGCCGUUUCUCCACGAAGUCCCUAUACGGCGCCAUUGCUCCCUCGACGGCCCCAGAACCGUUUAGCCUGAUCUGGGACAUCCGACUUCCGCUGAAGAUCAGGAUCUUCCUGUGGCAAUGGAUCCGUGGACGUCUCCCCUGUGCGGUUGAAGUCCUCAAGCGUAAUGGCCCGGGUGAUGGGAUGUGCCCCAUCUGUGGCACGAUUGAGGAUGCUAACCACAUCUUUUUCUCGUGCUACUCUGCCCAGUUCCUUUGGGCCUGCUUCCGCGAAAUGGUUGGUGGACAGUGCUGUAAUACCAACUUCCCCGACCUGCUUGCCGAGCUUAACGCUUCCCCUACUCGCUACUGCCAUAUUAGAUGGUUGUGCGUUGGGGUUCUUGCCUAG
This 474-nucleotide ribosomal RNA is filed under the name Triticum aestivum (bread wheat). RNAcentral's name for it is "partial small subunit ribosomal RNA". Lineage: Eukaryota; Viridiplantae; Streptophyta; Magnoliopsida; Poales; Poaceae. The record is from RNAcentral.